CCUACGUGCGGCAGCAGUGGGGAAUAUUGCGCAAUGGGCGAAAGCCUGACGCAGCGACGCCGCGUGAGGGAUGAAGGUCUUCGGAUCGUAAACCUCUGUCAGCAGGGAAGAACGGUCACUGUGCUAAUCAGCAGUGAAUUGACGGUACCUGCAAAGGAAGCACCGGCUAACUCCGUGCCAGCAGCCGCGGUAAUACGGAGGGUGCGAGCGUUAAUCGGAAUUACUGGGCGUAAAGCGCUCGUAGGCGGUAUGUCAAGUCAAGGGUGAAAUCCCCGCGCUCAACGUGGGAACUGCCUUUGAAACGGGCAAACUGGAGUGUGUGAGAGGAUAGUGGAAGUCCAGGUGUAGGAGUGAAAUCCGUAGAUAUCUGGAGGAACAUCAGUGGCGAAGGCGACUAUCUGGCACAUAACUGACGCUGAGGAGCGAAAGCGUGGGUAGCAAACAGGAUUAGAUACCCCAGUAGUC
RNAcentral lists this ribosomal RNA (465 nucleotides) under uncultured bacterium. RNAcentral's name for it is "partial 16S ribosomal RNA". It matches the Rfam family "Bacterial small subunit ribosomal RNA", at positions 338 to 795 of the family's 1533-position model. The record is from RNAcentral.